RNAcentral lists this non-coding RNA (30 nucleotides) under Mus musculus (house mouse). The record is from RNAcentral. Lineage: Eukaryota; Metazoa; Chordata; Mammalia; Rodentia; Muridae.
UCCUAGACCUCUAUCCUUGACCAUGAAUGU